Molecule: ribosomal RNA, 484 nt
Filed under: uncultured bacterium
Lineage: Bacteria
Description: partial 16S ribosomal RNA
Rfam family: Bacterial small subunit ribosomal RNA
Source: RNAcentral
AUUGAACGCUGGCGGCAGGCCUAACACAUGCAAGUCGAGCGGAUGAAGGGAGCUUGCUCCUGGAUUCAGCGGCGGACGGGUGAGUAAUGCCUAGGAAUCUGCCUGGUAGUGGGGGAUAACGUCCGGAAACGGGCGCUAAUACCGCAUACGUCCUGAGGGAGAAAGUGGGGGAUCUUCGGACCUCACGCUAUCAGAUGAGCCUAGGUCGGAUUAGCUAGUUGGUGGGGUAAAGGCCUACCAAGGCGACGAUCCGUAACUGGUCUGAGAGGAUGAUCAGUCACACUGGAACUGAGACACGGUCCAGGCUCCUACGAGAGGCAGCAGUGGGGAAUAUUGGACAAUGGGCGAAAGCCUGAUCCAGCCAUGCCGCGUGUGUGAAGAAGGUCUUCGGAUUGUAAAGCACUUUAAGUUGGGAGGAAGGGCAGUAAGUUAAUACCUUGCUGUUUUGACGUUACCAACAGAAUAAGCACCGGCUAACUUCGUG